AUUGAACGCUGGCGGCAUGCUUUACACAUGCAAGUCGAACGGUAACAGGCCUUCGGGUGCUGACGAGUGGCGAACGGGUGAGUAAUGCAUCGGAACGUACCCAGAGGUGGGGGAUAACGCAGCGAAAGCUGUGCUAAUACCGCAUGUGAUCUGAGGAUGAAAGCGGGGGACCGAGCAGCAAUGUUUGGCCUCGCGCCUUUGGAGCGGCCGAUGUCGGAUUAGCUAGUUGGUGGGGUAAAGGCCUACCAAGGCGACGAUCCGUAGCUGGUCUGAGAGGACGACCAGCCACACUGGGACUGAGACAAGGCCCAGACUCCUAAGGGAGGCAGCAGUGGGGAAUUUUGGACAAUGGGCGCAAGCCUGAUCCAGCAAUGCCGCGUGCGGGAAGAAGGCCUUCGGGUUGUAAACCGCUUUUGGCAGGAACGAAACGGUGUCCGCUAAUACCGGGCGCUAAUGACGGUACCUGCAGAAUAAGCACCGGCUAACUACGUG
Molecule: ribosomal RNA, 492 nt
Filed under: uncultured bacterium
Lineage: Bacteria
Description: partial 16S ribosomal RNA
Rfam family: Bacterial small subunit ribosomal RNA
Source: RNAcentral